UACGUAGGGUGCAAGCGUUGUCCGGAAUUAUUGGGCGUAAAGAGCUCGUAGGCGGCUUGUCGCGUCGGCUGUGAAAACCUGGGGCUCAACCCCGGGCCUGCAGCCGAUACGGGCAAGCUAGAAUUCGGUAGGGGAGACUGGAAUUCCUGGUGUAGCGGUGAAAUGCGCAGAUAUCAGGAGGAACACCGGUGGCGAAGGCGGAUCUCUGGGCCUUGCCUGACGCUGAGGCGCGAAAGCUAGGGGAGCGAACAGG
Molecule: ribosomal RNA, 253 nt
Filed under: uncultured bacterium
Lineage: Bacteria
Description: partial 16S ribosomal RNA
Rfam family: Bacterial small subunit ribosomal RNA
Source: RNAcentral